Non-coding RNA from Pseudomonas syringae, 151 nucleotides. The record is from Rfam. Lineage: Bacteria; Pseudomonadati; Pseudomonadota; Gammaproteobacteria; Pseudomonadales; Pseudomonadaceae.
AAAUCUCCAACAGGACCGCUGUCGCAGACAUCACCCUGCCCAGGUAGCCCGAAUCCUAAAGGCUACGGUGCGGUUCGCCGCAUUGAUUCAACCCAGUCCGUAUCGCAUUCGGCAGCGCGGACAAUCAUCGAUGCUCUCGAUGAUCGAAUGC